GAUGAACGCUAGCUACAGGCUUAACACAUGCAAGUCGAGGGGCAGCAUGGUCUUAGCUUGCUAAGGCCGAUGGCGACCGGCGCACGGGUGAGUAACGCGUAUCCAACCUUCCCCAUAGUAGGGCAUAGCCCGUAGAAAUGCGGAUUAAUACCCUAUGUUUUCCGAAGCAGACAUCUAAUUUGGAACAAAGGUUCACCGCUAUGGGAUGGGGAUGCGUCUGAUUAGGUUGUUGGCGGGGUAACGGCCCACCAAGCCAUCGAUCAGUAGGGGUUCUGAGAGGAAGGUCCCCCACAUUGGAACUGAGACACGGUCCAAACUCC
RNAcentral lists this ribosomal RNA (320 nucleotides) under uncultured Prevotella sp. Its description in RNAcentral is "bacterial SSU rRNA". It matches the Rfam family "Bacterial small subunit ribosomal RNA", at positions 28 to 339 of the family's 1533-position model. Lineage: Bacteria; Pseudomonadati; Bacteroidota; Bacteroidia; Bacteroidales; Prevotellaceae. The record is from RNAcentral.